GACGAACGCUGGCGGCGUGCCUAAUACAUGCAAGUAGAACGCUGAAGGAGGAGCUUGCUUCUCUGGAUGAGUUGCGAACGGGUGAGUAACGCGUAGGUAACCUGCCUGGUAGCGGGGGAUAACUAUUGGAAACGAUAGCUAAUACCGCAUAAUAUUGACUAUUGCAUGAUAGUCAGUUGAAAGGUGCAACUGCACCACUACCAGAUGGACCUGCGUUGUAUUAGCUAGUUGGUGGGGUAACGGCUCACCAAGGCGACGAUACAUAGCCGACCUGAGAGGGGGGUCGGCCACACUGGGACUGAGACACGGCCCAGACUCCUACGGGAGGCGGCAGUAGGGAAUCUUCGGCAAUGGACGGAAGUCUGACCGAGCAACGCCGCGUGAGUGAAGAAGGUUUUCGGAUCGUAAAGCUCGGUUGUAAGAGAAGAACGAGUGUGAGAGUGGAAAGCUCACACUGUGACGGUAUCUUACCAGAAAGGGACGGCUAACUACGUG
This 495-nucleotide ribosomal RNA is filed under the name uncultured bacterium. RNAcentral describes it as "partial 16S ribosomal RNA". It matches the Rfam family "Bacterial small subunit ribosomal RNA", at positions 28 to 507 of the family's 1533-position model. The record is from RNAcentral.